RNAcentral lists this unclassified non-coding RNA (11103 nucleotides) under Diabrotica virgifera virgifera (western corn rootworm). RNAcentral's name for it is "voltage-dependent T-type calcium channel subunit alpha-1G". The record is from RNAcentral. Lineage: Eukaryota; Metazoa; Arthropoda; Insecta; Coleoptera; Chrysomelidae.
CUGAGCUACGGAAAAUUCGGUCCGGGAAAUCAAUAUCUGUUCAAAGUUAGCUUAUUUUUUGCUAGUUAUAUGUUUGAUGUUUUUUAUGAGUUAUUUUAAUGAAAUCAAUGGUAAAUGUUAGACAAAUUAGUCUCUAAAAUAAUAAAGAUUUCGAAAACUCUAAUAAGAUAAAGGGAAAAUUUUCGCGUAGUGUUGUAUUAUCGUAGAUACCAGUAAGGGAAAAUAAGGACAGCCAAUCAGACUCACCACCUGAAAACAAACGUAAAUCCCUGUUGGUAUUAGGAACUGAAGAAAAUAUAUUUUACCAUUUCGGAACAAUGCAUUGUUACUCGAGCUCUGGUGCCCUACUUUCCAAUGCGAGCUAUAUCCACUGCCGCUCUGAUUCAGACAGCCGAUUAUACAGAAGGGGCUCUCGUUGGGAAUUGUCAGAGAGUGGAGAAUCUACAGUUUCAGACUUAGAUGAGACCGAGUCAGGAACCACUUCUGAAUCAGCAGCCAAUAUAGAUCCGAAUAUUCCUUAUCCAGGAAUUGCACCCGUAACCCUACGAUAUCUGUCUCAAACAACUAGACCAAGAAGUUGGUGCUUAGCUCUAGUUUCUAGCUCAUGGUUUGAAAGAGUUUCGAUGAUAGUUAUUCUACUAAAUUGUUUCACUUUAGGAAUGUACCAACCUUGUUCUGACAAAGAUCCAUGUACAACAAACAAAUGUUUAAUAUUACAGAGAUUCGAUGAAUUUAUCUUCGCCUUCUUUUCUCUUGAAAUGACUAUUAAAAUGAUCGCCAUGGGAGUGUAUGGACCUGGUUCAUAUUUAGCUGAUUCCUGGAACCGUCUGGACUUGUUCAUUGUUAUUGCUGGAGCUGUUGAGUAUGGUUUGCCAAAUUUUAUUAAUUUUUCAGCUAUAAGGACUAUAAGAGUAUUGAGACCUCUUCGUGCUAUUAACAGGAUACCAAGUAUGAGGAUAUUAGUAAUGCUACUUUUAGAUACUUUACCUAUGUUAGGAAACGUUCUAUUGUUAUGCUUUUUUGUAUUCUUUAUUUUUGGAAUAAUUGGAGUCCAAUUGUGGCAAGGGAUUUUGAGACAGCGGUGUGUUCUAAAUCGUGUCGAGUUCCCUACUGUUGAUUUCCCUGAAGAUUUAAUCUAUUUCUACAAACCUGUUGAUUCCGACUACAUUUGUAGCAAAAGCCACAAUUCGGGAAUGCACUUCUGCGCAAAUUUACCAAACUAUAAAAACGGUAAUAUUGCAUGCACUUUGACUUACGAAGAAAAAAACUAUCCCCAAUAUAGCGAUAACGAUUCCUACUGUGUUAAUUGGAAUCAGUAUUAUACCCUGUGUUCAGACAAAAACCACAAUCCCUUUCAGGACACUAUAUCUUUUGAUAAUAUAGGAUUAGCAUGGAUUGCAAUAUUUUUAGUAAUUUCAUUGGAAGGUUGGACAGAAAUAAUGUACUACAUCCAGGACGGACAUAGUUUCUGGGAUUGGAUUUAUUUCGUAUUACUUAUAGUGAUUGGAUCAUUCUUUAUGAUAAACUUGUGCCUUGUCGUCAUUGCCACUCAAUUUUCUGAAACAAAGAAGCGGGAAAUGGAGCGAAUGCGGCUAGAAAGAGCGAGAUUUCAAAGUAGUAGUACCCUAGCAUCAUCUACGAAUAAUAGCGAACCUUCUAGCUGCUAUGCUGAAAUUAUUAAAUACAUCGCUCACUUAUGGCGAAGAUCUAAACGAAAGGUUUUAAUAAAAAUUAGGUUUUACAUUUUGAGGAGGAAUCAGAGGAGUCAGUUGAUAGCUGGUGAUACUAUUCGAUUGAACUAUGGUAAACAGCACCAUCCCAACUGCUCCAAACUUACGUUAAUUAGCUCUGCAAAUUUACUUUCUCCAGCGUCGGUUUCAAGUAAUACCAGAAGAUCAUCAGUGAUGUUUAGCGAUCUAAUUAUAUUACACGGACAAAAUAGCUCCACGACAGCUUAUAAGAAAAACGUAUGUUCAAGCGAGAAAACAACUCAAGCAGGAGACGGAAAUAUCUGGCAAAUUGCCACAGCUUCAGACCAACCUGACAUUCAAACACAACAAAUUCAGCAACAAUGUAACAAUCUUAUGAAUGGUGAAACUCUAACGUGCCAAGAACUACUAGCUCUAGGGGCUAUAAAUGCAGCCCUCUCCACUGGCCAAAUACUUCUAGAUAUAUUUUUCAAUUCAAUUACGAAAGGUAUCAAGAAAGACAGUGAAAACAAUUAUCUUCAGCACGUCUCAGACGACAACUUUUCCUGCUGUCAAGAUCUCUGGCAGUGCGAAGUGGAAUAUAAAACUGAGAAACGAACAAAAUUGUAUAUCUAUUGCUGCUUGGUGUUAAAAGGAAUUCUAAAAGCUUUUAAAGUCUUCAGGAAAAAAAUUAAAAAGAUAGUGGUACAUAAGUGUUUCCAGGAGGGUAUUCUUGUGGCGAUUUUGAUAAAUACGCUUUCGAUGGGCAUUGAGCAUCACAAUCAGGCGGAGAUAUUGACACAUAUUGUUGAAGUGACUAACAUUAUAUUUUCUGCUAUAUUUGGCGUCGAAAUGCUUCUGAAAAUCAUUGCUGAAGGUCCGUUUGGUUAUAUAUCUAAUGGGUUUAACGUAUUUGAUGGGAUUAUUGUAGUUCUAAGUGCUGUGGAGCUAUUCAGAAAUUGCACCAGCGACCUUCACACAGAUUCAGGACUAUCAGUACUGAGAACCUUUCGUCUAUUGAGAAUAUUGAAACUAGUGAGAUUUAUGCCAAAUUUGAGGAGGCAGUUGUUUGUUAUGUUAAGAACGAUGGACAAUGUAGCGAUAUUUUUCUCCUUACUGAUACUCUUCAUUUUUAUCUUCAGCAUUCUGGGAAUGUAUCUAUUCGGCGGUAAGUUUUGCGUCUAUGUAGACGAUUAUGGUUCCACCAAGGAAUGCACCUGUGAAUCGAUGGACAAUAUACGAUGUCGAUGCGACCGAAAACACUUCAACAACAUCCUCUGGGCCACUGUCACAGUAUUUCAAAUUUUAACACAAGAAGACUGGAACAUAGUUUUGUCGAAUGGAAUGGCAAAAACUUCAAAUUGGGCCGCGCUUUACUUUGUUGCCUUAAUGACGUUUGGUAACUAUGUGCUAUUUAAUUUGUUAGUUGCUAUCCUUGUCGAGGGAUUUAGCUCAGAGAGAAAUGAACGCAGAGAACGAGAACAAAGAGAAUUGGCAAAGCGUAAAAUGUCGUGCAUUAUUGAAGCCAGUUUGCGCAGAAAUUGUGGAGAUAGUAAUUAUUCUUUAUCUAGCUCCUCGGAGAAUUGUUUUCCGGAAUACAAAAAUUAUUGGAAGCCAGAUGAAGCAAGAAAUGUCAAAAAUUUGAACCAGCACGCAGCUAGCUGUGAUUUUAAGGAUAUUCAUCUGAACGGAAAUUAUCCAUUUCGGUAUAGAGAUCCGAAAUCAAAUAUACAAAAAGAAAGUUUAGCAAGGCUUCCGAUCAAAAGGUCAUCCCCUCCAAUAAUUACGCACACUGCAGCAACUCCGCAGGAUUCGCCAAGUAUGACACUCAAAGAAUUUUCGGAGUUCCAAUUUCAGGUAAACAACUCAAUCUCAACAAAAGAAGGCACUCAACCUUCAGUUAAUGUUAUUACUCAAAAAAUUGAGAAUUCGAAAUUACUAGUCCCGCCAAAACUCUCCCCACCUCCGUCGACUUUUCGACAAUUUAAACACAGUAGCGUAGACGAUUCAAACAGCAGAGUAUGUAAAAUAGUCACGUAUAAUGAAAAAAGCGGACCUAAUACAGUAACGUACUCAGAAAAGGUUGGUCCAGCUUUCUGCACGGGAAGCACCAAACAUUUAGCCAGUCGAAGUAGUUGGGAAGGUCCUAGAAAAGUUGCUACAAAGUCUAGUUUUAAAAAGAGCAAAAACGUUUCUGAAGUACCAGCCGAAAAUAUACCAUUAAAUAAUGGAAGACAUCAUUCCCAAUGUAGUGGAAAGGGGCAGAGUCCAAUUCCAGCACAUUUAAGAAGGAAAAACUAUUUUAAGAAAACGUCCAUACAAGAAAACCAAGUUAGUAAAAACAGUAAUGUACACGCAAAGAAGAAUAAUACUAAUACAAUCAAAUUUGUUAACAAAUCUAAUGAGAAAAUACUUCCACAGUUAAGUAUUGACAAAGGUAUCAAGGCAAGAAUAAAGAAAAAGAUAUCCUCGGUUUUUCAGACAGCUGAUUUCUUAAAGAAUAGAGAGGACUAUUCAUUGUAUCUAUUUUCACCUGAUAAUAAGUUUAGGAAAUAUUGUUGUUGGGUAGUAAAGCAAGCUUGGUUUGAUAACUUGGUACUAAUUUUCAUAGCUCAGAAUUGCAUUACACUUGCAAUGGAAAGACCAAAUAUUCCACCUGACAGUCCCGAAAAGAUAUUUUUACAAUGUUCAAAUUAUAUUUUUUCAAUUGUGUUUGCUACAGAAAUGUUUAUUAAAGUGGUUGCAUCUGGGAUGUGUUACGGACCCAAUGCGUACUUUACUUCUGGAUGGAAUGUCAUGGAUGGAUCCUUAGUAAUAAUAUCUGUAGUAGAUAUCAUAAUGUUCUUAAUAAACGACACAACUUCAAGAAUAUUUGGAAUUUUAAGAGUAUUUCGUCUACUUAGAUCACUCCGCCCAUUGAGAGUAAUAAAUAGAGCUCCUGGAUUAAAAUUAGUUGUACAGACAUUGUUAUCAUCUCUUAGGCCUAUCGGAAAUAUUGUUCUCAUUUGCUGUACGUUUUUUAUUAUAUUUGGAAUACUGGGUGUACAGUUGUUCAAAGGAUCUUUCUACUAUUGUGUGGCUGAAAAUUUAACCGGCAUUGAAACAAAAGAUGACUGCAUUGCUAAAGGAUACAACUGGAAAAACCAAAAAUAUAAUUUUGAUGACUUAGUUCAAGCUCUGAUGUCUCUAUUCGUCUUAAGCUCAAGAGAUGGCUGGGUAAACAUUAUGUAUACAGGACUUGAUGCGGUAGGAGUUGAUAGACAGCCCAAGGUGAAUUAUUCUGAAUGGCGACUGUUAUAUUUUAUAGCGUUUAUACUAUUAGUUGGAUUCUUUGUACUUAACAUGUUUGUUGGAGUAGUUGUAGAAAACUUUCAUAGAUGCAGAGAAGAACAGGAAAAAGAAGAAAAGAUUAGAAAAGCUGCCAAGCGUGCGUUGCAGAUGGAAAAACGAAGAAGAAAAAUGAACGAGCUUCCAUAUUACAUUGAUUAUCCUCCUUGGAGACUGGAGAUUCAUAAAAUAGUGACUUCCAAGUAUUUCGAUCUAGCCAUAGCGUUGGUUAUAGGUUUGAAUGUCAUUACUAUGGCCACAGAACGUUACCAUAUGCCAGAUUAUUGGGAAUACGCUCUCAGAAUUUUUAACUAUUUCUUCACGGCUGUAUUCAUUUUAGAAAGUACAAUGAAAUUAGUUGCCUUAGGUAUAAAGAUAUACGUCAAAGAUAAAUGGAAUCUCCUUGAUGUAGCCAUUGUGAUAUUAUCUGUAGUAGGAAUUGUUAUUGAAGAGAUAGUGCAAGAUCUGAAGAUAAUACCGAUUAAUCCAACAAUAAUAAGGGUUCUAAGAGUAAUGAGAAUUGCACGGGUUUUGAAGUUAUUGAAAAUGGCGAAAGGUAUAAGAGCUCUUUUAGACACCGUCAUGCAAGCUUUACCACAAGUUGGAAAUUUGGGACUGCUGUUCUUUUUAUUGUUUUUCAUAUUCGCUGCGCUGGGAGUGGAAUUAUUUGGGAGAUUGGACUGCAGCUGUACUCCAUGUCAAGGAUUGGGUGAACACGCACAUUUUCAAAAUUUUGGAAUGGCAUUUCUAACUCUGUUUAGGGUAGCCACCGGAGAUAAUUGGAAUGGAAUCAUGAAAGACACCUUAGAUGAUGAACACUGUGAUCACGGAGAUGACUGUAUCAACAAUUGUUGCAUAUCUCCAAUUAUAGCUCCAAUAUUCUUUGUUAUAUUCGUCCUGAUGGCUCAAUUCGUAUUAGUUAAUGUAGUUGUAGCAGUUCUAAUGAAACAUCUAGAAGAAUCUCACAAACAAUUAGAAGACGAACACGAUAUGGACGUUCAAUUGGAGAGAGAAUUUGUUGAAAAACAGGAAAGAAACGCGAGAGAGCUCUAUCUAGCUCUUCAAGCCGACCAAGAAUGUCAGGCACAACAAAAGAAAACCUUAGUUAAAGUUAUGUCACUGCCAUCCGACUUCACGUAUACCCCUCCUGGGACAAAGGUCACUUUAAAAAUAGAAAAUCCAAUAAUAAACGAAAAUAUUUCGGUUAUUCAAAGUUCACCAUCACCCAGCCCUAGCAGAAAGAACUUGAAGAGUCCAGAUGAAUCCAUGGCCGACAUUUAUAGUAUAGGAUCCGUGUCAGAAGAAAUUAAAAGAGACAAAGGGUAUCAACAAAAUCCAGACAAAGAUAUCUUCCUGAAGGACGAACAUAAAAAUAAACCGAAAGUUGAACAGAAUCCGUCUUUCUUGAUGGUUCCCCAGGAAAGAGAGGUACUGCUGCAACGAUCUGGCAGUGUCAAGAACUUGCUCAGGAAACAGCUGUCGAUGGAUAUCAGUGAAGAAUCCGCCGUUUUACUGUCAAUUCCAUCAAUUCCGAAAGUUCAAAAAAGACAAAAAAAUACUUAAGUUACUUUUAAUUAUUAUUUGGUGUUAAUGGCUUUAAGAACUGUGUUAAUAGGAACAACUAAGAAAAAUAUUAUUUCGUAACGGGAUCAUCAUUAUCUUUGCAUUAUCCAUAUGCGGAGUCGGCUUCCCUUAUUGCAUUACUCCAUAAGUUUUUACCUUGGGUCAUAUCAACAGCAAUUCCCUUUACCGACAUGUCCUGUCUAAAAGUCUCCCCCCCCCCUACGUCAUCUGUGGUCCUCCUCUCCUACUCUUCCCGGAACCCGCAAUUCAGCAAUUUUUCAAUCCUUUUUUGUUACUCCUCUCAUCCAUCUAAGCAUUUUCAUUUCGGCCACAUGCAUUCGUUAUCCCUCUUUCUUUUUAACUGCCCAACAUUCAGUUCCGUACAUCAUAGCCGGUCGUAUGGCUGUUUUAUAUAAUUUUCCCUUCAGCUUCAUUGGAAUUUUUCUGUCACACAACACACAUUUGCUUCUUUUCAUUUCAACCAUCCAACCCUAAUUCUAUUGCAAGCGUCUCCAUCUAUUUCCCCAUUACUCUGUAAUACCGAUCCUAGGUACUUAAAACUCUUACUUUUCACAAUCAUUUUACCAUCCAAAGAUAUCAUUUUAUUUGUUGCAACUCCAUCUUUAAACGGACAUUCCAAAUAUUCCGUCUUUGUCCUACUAAGUUUUAAUCCUUUUUUCUUAAGAGCUUGUCUCCACUGUUCCAGUUUUUGUUCUGUCUCUUUCACUAUUUCCUACUAACACGACUUCAUCAGCAUACAUUCAACACCAAAGAAUGUUACCCUGUAGUUUCACUGUUACCUGAUCCAAAACAAAUGAGAAUAAAUAAAAACUAAUCUGAACUCCGAAAAAACUACACCGAACCUUCCAAUCACGGUGUAGUCCUACUGUCACAUAUGAAAUUUAUCAGUAUCUCCCACACCUGUCCCAACACUAAUUAUUGUUACUCCCUCAUGCAUAUUUCGUAGUGAGAGAAAUAAUUAAGAAACAUUGUUAAAUUUCUUGGUCCACUGUUUAUACUUAAAAUUUAUAUUUUUUAAAUGUGUGAACAAAUUCGACACUAUUACUGUUAUCUGUAGAGGAUAAUAUUUUAGGGUUGAUCUACAGACUAUAAUAUACAGGGUGUCCAGAAGCUCUACCGACAAAUGAAGACAGCAGAUUCCUCAGAUAAUUUUAAGAUAUUUUAACCCAAUUCACCUAGUCCGAAAAUGCUUCCUAAGGGAGCUAGAGCUCUUUGAAGAUGGCGUCAUGUAAUUAGUUUUUCUUAAAUACCUCCAGACCGCCUCCAUUUAGAAAAACAAAAAUUGGUACACAUAUUUAUCUUCCAGAGAUAAAUCGAUUCCAUACAUAAUGAAUUUCUAGUACCGGUCAUAGGCGUCCGUUUUGGGUAGGGGGACAGUUAUUUUAUCGCAUAACUUUUUAUCUUUCAUUUCAAAGCAUUUUUGACUCUGAAUUAUUAAAUUGCGAGUUAUUUUACAACUAAAAGGUACUCUUGUUUUAAGUCGAAAGGAUACACCGUUUUCUAGAAAAAUCGAUUUGAACAUUUUUCUUUUUUUUGAAUUUCCAAAACCAAUUCAAAAAUAAACUAUUUAGAAAUCCGAAAACUGGUACGUUUAUUUAUAUUUCAGAGACGAAUCGAUUUCAUUAAAUGCGAAUUUCUAGUACGGGUCAAAUGCGUCCGUUUUGGGUAGGUCAACGGUUAUUUUAUCGCAUAACAAUUUUGUCUUUAAUUUUUAAGCAUUCUUGACUCUAGAUUAUUAACUUAUGAGGUAUUCGAGUACUAAAAGUUACUCUUGCUUUAAGUUGGUUACAUACACCGUUUUUUUUUUGAAAAAAUUUUUCAAUUUUUUUUCAAAUUCAAAAAACGAAAAAGUUUCAAAUCGAUUUUUCUACAAAACCGUGUGUUUUUCCAACUUAAAUCAAGAGUACCUUUUAGUACUAGAAUACCUCACAAUUUAAUAAUCCAGUGGCAAAAAUGCAUAAAAGUUAAAGGCAAAAAAGUUAUGUGAUAAAAUAACCGUUGCCCUACCCAAAACGGACGCCUAUGAUCGAUACUAGAAAUUCGCAUGGGAUGGAAUCGAUUUAUCUCUGGAUGGUAAAUAUACGCACCGAUUUUUGUUUUUCUAAAUUAAAGGGUUCUUAAGGUAUUUAAGAAAAACUAAUUAUAAGACGCCAUUUUCAAAGAGCUCUAGCUCCCUUAGAAAGCAUUUUCGGACUAGGUGAAUUGGGCUAAAUUGUCUUAAAAUUAUCUGUAAAAUCUCCUGUCUUCGUUUGUCGGUAGAGUUUCUGGACACCCUGUAUAACAACCACAACUAAAUUGUGUGCUAUAUACAGGGCGGGGCAUUAGUGAAAGGCAGUAAAAGUACUCAUUUGUCAUAGGAGAUACGAAAAAAAGUGUUAAGGAAAAAAAUAGGGCAUAGAUAAUAGGACUAAAAAUAUUUUAAAAUAUACAGGGCCACCUAUAUUGACCGGGUGGAACAAACUAUUUUUUUUACUUAAUGGAACACUCUAUAUAUCUUUACAUCUUUAAACUCUCCUCGAUGUUCUCGUUUUUUAAUAUUAGGUUUUGUAAUGUUAUAUGAAUUACCUAGUUUAAAAAAAAAUUACGACUUUUAUUAAUUUCCUAACAAUAUUAACACCCUGUAGAAUGGUACAGGUUUGACAUAGAAAAUCUAUUCAUAUUCAAAACUGUUUUGAUAUAUUCUGCUAUUGUCCAAAAUCAUUAACAUAUCGAAAUAUUUAAUUUUUAUAUACAGGGUUGGUCGAAACUUGGAAUGAGUAUUUUCUAAGUUUUCUCUCUAUUGUAGUAUUGUCAUUAAAUGCUAUUUUACGAUACCUAAUUAUUUAUUAAGCAUUUCCUAUAACAAAUUGCUUUAAUUUGUGAGUAGUUCGUGAUAAUUUGAGCCAAAUUUUAUUGUAACCAUAAUUAGGUGAAAUUAGAUUGGGCAUGAAAAUAUUAAAUCAAAAAAUAUUUUUAGAAAAAAAUACAUAAUAAUGUAAACAUUUUUAAAAACUAUCUGACAACAGAUUUAUAGUAAGCUUGGAUGAAUCAGAAGAUGGUAUUGCGGUAAAUGGCUACCUUAUAAAGGGUUCCAAAGGAUGAUGGAUAAUGUUGUAGAAACAUGUAAUAAAUACUGCUUAAAACUCAAUUGUAAGAAGACAAAAAUAAUGAUCAUUAGUAAUACCGCCAACAUAAACGCCCAAAUUACAAUAAGCUAUACACUGCUAGAAAGAGUGGAGAAAAUAAUAUGCUACUUGAGCUGCAAUAUUAAGGAUACCUGGAAUAAUAGCUAUGAAAUAAUAACUCAUAUUGAAAGCGCCAAAAGCUCUUUUAGCGGUCUUAGAAAGAAUAUUUGCAACUUAUUAAUUGGUAUACCUACGCACAAAAAUUCUUAGAUGUUACGUUUGACUUUUAAAAAUAAUUGGUAAUAAUGGUCUAGAUCUAAAGUGUCUCAUCUAAAUCUGCUAUCGUAGCAUUUAUUAUUUAUCCCAAUAACAUUGCUUGGAAUGCAAUGAAGUAUGGAUACUUUAGUGUUACAUACAUGCAUGUGGUAGUAUUCAUUGCUUACUAGAAUUGCUGAUAGUGUAUUUGAUAUUAUUUAUAUCAAUAGUUUUUCCUAUUAUUUACCCUCUUCUCUACAUCCAAGUAUUAAAACUUAGACAAUUAUUGCUUGGUAUCUCUUAUUAAUCAUUUCGAAUAGUUGCAAAAGUAUUGUCAUGAAUACAUAAGCUGAUACUGCAUUAUAAUUAGAGAAUGCAUGUCAAAGUUAAUGAAAAUCCUCCAAAUAGAUAUUUGAAAAUAGAUGCAUCAGAAUAAGUAGAAAGCAGAAGCGAUAACGUACCUAAUAGGCAAUAUUUUAUAGGAUUGUGAACAUGGAUUACCAAAUGAUAUAAGAAAAUGAGAAUAUUAUUUGGUAGUAGUGUUAAAGAAACAAAAAGAAGACACCAAAUUCAAAUGUAAGCCAUACAUUCAAGAAGUUAUCAAUAAAGAUUUAGUUGUGCUGCUUGAAGCUGAUCUACAGCAAAUGUUGAAAUGGAACCAAAAAACGUUUUGCCAGAACUAAAUCAUAAAUAAGUAGAUUUUAACGUUGACUACUGAUUAUGUAUAACCUACGAAAUAUAGAUAUAUGUAGAUAAUAAACAUUAACAUUCUACAAGUCGAUUAAUUAUAAUUUGAUUCAUUGAAAAAAGAAUAUACCUAAGCCUCCGUGAUCUCCAUAUCAAAAUUAUCGAUUAUAUCAAAAUAUAGAGUUUUAGACUAAAUUAAUUAGAAAUAUAAUAAUUAUUAUUAUUGUUAGUUUACACACACCGUGCUUAGAUAUGUUUAAAUUAUUUAGAUAAACUGAAACGAGUAGUAGGACUAUCAAAAUAUAGUAAGUAAGAAGUAAGAAUAUAAAAAAUAAGUAAGUAACUCAAAAAUAAUAUUGUAAUAGAAUCUUUUUUAAACGGUCUUGUAUUUUCGAUAUAUAAUUUUUACCUGUCUAUAGACUUGAUGUAUAAAAGUAUAAUAAAAUGUGUUAUUUUAA